Molecule: long non-coding RNA, 286 nt
Filed under: Elaeis guineensis (African oil palm)
Lineage: Eukaryota; Viridiplantae; Streptophyta; Magnoliopsida; Arecales; Arecaceae
Description: long non-coding RNA (EGUI_LNC054959)
Source: RNAcentral
AAGGUAUAUCCUUGUCUCAUAAGAAUACUUUAUCUUUUUAAUCUAAUUUUUUUUAAUAAAAUCAGAUUUAAUUGGCAUGUAAUUAGCUCCUUUAGGCAAGUAUGUGGGGCACCCCAUCUCAUAUAGGGCAAGUAGUUUGGGGUGCCAAUACUUGGCCCCUCCUUUGGUUUCUUAACAUAUGAGAGGGGGCGUGGCCCCUCUCUCUCCUCCAUGCCAAUCCAUAAGAGGGGGUGGGCUCCUCUUGCAAAAUCUUGGAGAUUGGCGCCCCUGGUUCUGCCAAAAAUGA